RNAcentral lists this ribosomal RNA (924 nucleotides) under uncultured Bacteroidota bacterium. RNAcentral describes it as "bacterial SSU rRNA". It matches the Rfam family "Bacterial small subunit ribosomal RNA", at positions 1 to 916 of the family's 1533-position model. Lineage: Bacteria; Pseudomonadati; Bacteroidota. The record is from RNAcentral.
GGAUCCAGACUUUGAUCCUGGCUCAGGAUGAACGCUAGCUACAGGCUUAACACAUGCAAGUCGAGGGGAAACGAUAUUGGAAGCUUGCUUCCGAUAGGCGUCGACCGGCGCACGGGUGAGUAACGCGUAUCCAACCUGCCCACCACUUGGGGAUAACCUUGCGAAAGUAAGACUAAUACCCAAUGACGUCUCUAGAAGACAUCUGAAAGAGAUUAAAGAUUUAUCGGUGAUGGAUGGGGAUGCGUCUGAUUAGCUUGUUGGCGGGGUAACGGCCCACCAAGGCGACGAUCAGUAGGGGUUCUGAGAGGAAGGUCCCCCACAUUGGAACUGAGACACGGUCCAAACUCCUACGGGAGGCAGCAGUGAGGAAUAUUGGUCAAUGGGCGAGAGCCUGAACCAGCCAAGUAGCGUGCAGGAAGACGGCCCUAUGGGUUGUAAACUGCUUUUAUAAGGGAAUAAAGUGAGUCUCGUGAGACUUUUUGCAUGUACCUUAUGAAUAAGGACCGGCUAAUUCCGUGCCAGCAGCCGCGGUAAUACGGAAGGUCCGGGCGUUAUCCGGAUUUAUUGGGUUUAAAGGGAGCGUAGGCCGGAGAUUAAGCGUGUUGUGAAAUGUAGACGCUCAACGUCUGCACUGCAGCGCGAACUGGUUUCCUUGAGUACGCACAAAGUGGGCGGAAUUCGUGGUGUAGCGGUGAAAUGCUUAGAUAUCACGAAGAACUCCGAUUGCGAAGGCAGCCCACUGGAGCGCAACUGACGCUGAAGCUCGAAAGUGCGGGUAUCGAACAGGAUUAGAUACCCUGGUAGUCCGCACGGUAAACGAUGGAUGCCCGCUGUUGGUCUGAAUAGGUCAGCGGCCAAGCGAAAGCAUUAAGCAUCCCACCUGGGGAGUACGCCGGCAACGGUGCAACUCAAAUGAAUUGACGG